Long non-coding RNA from Triticum aestivum (bread wheat), 1074 nucleotides. RefSeq lists it as uncharacterized. The transcript has 4 exons. Lineage: Eukaryota; Viridiplantae; Streptophyta; Magnoliopsida; Poales; Poaceae. The record is from RefSeq and is a predicted model, not a curated record.
CACUCGGUCGCCUCGUCUCCUCCGCCUUCUCCCCUGCCUCCCCACCCGGGUAGCACACGGCCACAUCACGCUCGUGCCCUCGCCUUGCCGCAUCCUCUAUGCCGCGAUGCCGUCACACCACUUCAACUACUGCCCUUGGUUCUCAAUGCAGCCUCCUGCCGGGCGUCCUGUUCUAUGACGCUGGACAACGGCAGGCCCGCGCGCUCGAGAGGCGUCGGCGUCAUUGCUGGCGGCGACUUCAGCCCUAUCUCUCUCCCCAGCCCUAUCUCUCUUCCCUGACCCUCUCGAUGGUCAGAGGGGUGACGGGGUGGAUCGGGUGGCGGAGAUGGCGGAGCUCGGGCUGGAGCGCUCACGGGAUGGAAGUCUCAUCUCGCACUACCUUGGCACCGCCAUGGGCUGCACCGGUGACCGGCCCCAAGUGCACAUGAACAACGAGGUGUGUUUGGCGUCAUACUUGACCGUGGUGCAGAACAUCUUGUGGUUCUACCCAAGGGUUGACACCGAGCACCGAGGCGAACUGCAGAGGUAGCGUCCCGCGUCCUUUGUCAACGUCCAUAGCAUCAAGGACCUCCUCACGCCCAUGUGCAGAUGGCGCUCGCUCGUGAUCACAGGAAACCGGAUGACGCAUGUGCCCAUUGUCUAUCAUCGACAACAAGGUUGGUUCUAUGUUAAGGCCCUGCAUCCUCAGGUCAGUUUGGAACCUCUGCCUCCCAAAUUCCUACGACAGAAAAGAUGCCCUUUCCAAGUACUACUUCAGCUUUUCUAUUGGAUAGAUAACAAUAAAACCACAACAAAUAUCUAUCAGAAUUGAUUAUAAUCAGGGAUGGAAGUAACUAUGUUUCAGCAGAGAAGCAACUGCCUUCACUCGAGAAUAAUCAGGUAUAGACAAUUGAUACUUCCCACAUGUGCAAGUGUUCUAAUGUACUGUGUGUUAUGCCAUCGGGAAGUAAUAUAUGUUCCUUCCAUCAUUGCUUCCGCAGGGUAGGGCAUUAUGGUCUGGCAUCUCCGUCCUCCCAGGUCACUAAUAAUAGCUAUAGCUGAUGCUAGGUCCAUAAAAAGUUCAUGUUAUUAUGU